ACGGAGUUAGUUGGUAGCACAAAGGGCUCAUAGUUUGUGGUUCAUAGCGGGGGAGGGUUUUCAGCUAUGAGCUGUCAGCUAAGAGCGAUGAGCUUUGUGUGCUAUCAACUAACUUAGUGGCGGACGGGUGAGUAACACGUAGGUAACCUACCUUCGAGACGGGGGCAACUCAGGGAAACUUGAGCUAAUACCCGGUAAGACCACGUGCUGGGAGGCAUGAGGUAAAAGGGAGCAAUCCGCUUGGAGACGGGCCUGCGGCCUAUCAGGUAGUUGGUGGGGUAAGAGCUUACCAAGCCAAAGACGGGUAGCCGGGCUGAGAGGUUGAACGGCCACACUGGAACUGAGAUACGGUCCAGACUCCUACGGGAGGCAGCAGUGGGGAAUAUUGCACAAUGGGCGAAAGCCUGAUGCAGCGACGCCGCGUGGAGGAUGAAGGUCUUCGGGUUGUAAACUCCUUUUCUUGGGAAAGAUGAUGACGGUACCCAAGGAAUAAGCCACGGCUAACUCUGUGCCAGCAGCCGCGGUAAGACAGAGGUGGCGAGCGUUGUUCGGAAUCACUGGGCUUAAAGGGCGAGUAGGCGGUGGAGCAAGUCUGGGGUGGAAUCCUAUGGCUUAACCAUAGAAUUGCCUUAGAAACUGUUUCACUUGAGUCAGUGAGGGGAGGGCGGAAUUCCUGGUGUAGCGGUGAAAUGCGUAGAUAUCAGGAGGAAGGCCUGUGGCGAAGGCGGCCCUCUGGCACUGCAC
RNAcentral lists this ribosomal RNA (744 nucleotides) under uncultured bacterium. RNAcentral describes it as "bacterial SSU rRNA". It matches the Rfam family "Bacterial small subunit ribosomal RNA", at positions 1 to 740 of the family's 1533-position model. The record is from RNAcentral.